Molecule: unclassified non-coding RNA, 295 nt
Filed under: Hevea brasiliensis (rubber tree)
Lineage: Eukaryota; Viridiplantae; Streptophyta; Magnoliopsida; Malpighiales; Euphorbiaceae
Source: RNAcentral
AAUAUCUGGGUUCUGGGAUAUUAUUGAUCAUCUGAGUUCAUGUGGUUCAUGAAGUAUAAUAAUAUUCUGGUAAAAACAGAAAGUGCGUCUUGAGUUCGCUUUAUUGAUCAUAUGAACUCUUGCCAUUGGCAAACAACAGUUUGUGUAAUUGACAUACUGAAGUUUAGGAACCAUGAGAAAGUGCUGUUUGGUGUUUACAAAUAUCAUACUCAUAGAGCUCGGGGACGCGGCAGCAAUAAGUGGAAUCUAAUGUGUUUUGGCAUAAAUGUUGCAGAUAUAUUCAAGGAUACCUGAU